GGUGCUUCUUCUUCGGAAGAAGUAACCCGGCGGACGGCUCAGUAACACGUGGACAACUUGCCCUUGGGACCGGGAUAACCCCUGGGAAACUGGGGCUAAUACCGGAUAGAACAUCGGUUGCUGGAAUGCACGAUGUUCGAAAGCUGAGGCACCCAAGGAUAGGUCUGCGGCCGAUUAGGUUGUUGUUGAUGUGACGGAUCAACAGGCCUACGAUCGGUACGGGUUGUGAGAGCAAUAGCCCGGAGAUGGGUUCUGAGAAAAGAACCCAGGUCCUACGGGACGCAUCAGGCGCGAAAACUUUACAAUGUGCGAAAGCACGAUAAGGGAACUCUGAGUGCCUCCUAAGGAGGCUGUUCAGGUGUCUAAAAAGCAUCUGGAGGAAGGGCUGGGUAAGACCGGUGCCAGCCGCCGCGGUAACACCGGCAGCUCAAGUGGUAGCCCACGUUUAUUGGGUCUAAAAGCGUCCGUAGCCCGGCUGAGUAAGUUCCUUGGGAAAAUUUGACCCGCUCAACGGUUAAGCUUU
This 523-nucleotide ribosomal RNA is filed under the name uncultured archaeon. RNAcentral describes it as "bacterial SSU rRNA". It matches the Rfam family "Archaeal small subunit ribosomal RNA", at positions 57 to 574 of the family's 1478-position model. The record is from RNAcentral.